AUACGUAGGGUGCGAGCGUCGUCCGGAAUUACUGGGCGUAAAGAGCUCGUAGGUGGUUUGUCGCGUCGUCUGUGGAAUUCCGGGGCUUAACUCCGGGCGUGCAGGCGAUACGGGCAUAACUUGAGUACUGUAGGGGAGACUGGAAUUCCUGGUGUAGCGGUGAAAUGCGCAGAUAUCAGGAGGAACACCGGUGGCGAGGGCGGGUCUCUGGGCAGUAACUGACGCUGAGGAGCGAAAGCAUGGGUAGCGAACAGGAUUAGAUACCCUGGUAGUCCAUGCCGUAAACGGUGGGCGCUAGGUGUAGGGGUCUUCCACGACUUCUGUGCCGUAGCUAACGCAUUAAGCGCCCCGCCUGGGGAGUACGGCCGCAAGGCUAAAACUCAAAGGAAUUGACGGGG
RNAcentral lists this ribosomal RNA (398 nucleotides) under uncultured bacterium. Its description in RNAcentral is "partial 16S ribosomal RNA". It matches the Rfam family "Bacterial small subunit ribosomal RNA", at positions 523 to 918 of the family's 1533-position model. The record is from RNAcentral.